CAGGUUAAAAAGAAGGAUCCCAGUCCUGCUGCUGAUGGGUCUCCAGACAGCUUGGGUGUAACUUUCCACUUGGAUGUUCACAGUGUUUGGGAUACAGGAAGGGAAUCUGACUCAUAAAGAAACAUAAAGUGCAAUUGAGUUCCCACUUACUUCAGUGGAAGAAUUGAUGUGCCCAAGGUCAGAGAGAAAGUCGAUAGCGGAGCUGGGGAAAAGAAGCAGGAGUUUUGAAGCCAGUGCCUUUCAUGCAGCCACCAGACAGCCCUCCCUUUGCUGAGCGAUCCAAGCCCAAGGCCAAAUAAAUCUCCAGCGUAAUCCCAAUUGUCAGGAGGCAUGUGGUCUCCUGAGGCACCAGACGUGUGUGAGAACAUGGAGAUGAGAGCUUUGAUGUGCCUUUGAGAGAACACUGGAAGAAACAGAGCAGAUACGGGAACUUCUCCAAUGGGAUGAACAGCUCUGAGAAGCAGCCUGGAGGAUACAUACAUGAUGGACCAUGCACUCCUGAGCCUGGCACAGCCUUCGGGGAGGGAGAUGCUCUGGCAAUGGGGAUGCAGCCUCUGACACCACCUAAAACAUGGUGUGUCAGCUGCUUCGUAACACAGCUCUUCUUGUCCUCUAUGCAGAUCUGCUUUCCUGCAAAGAGAACAAAGACAUCGUUUGUCCAGAGAAAGGUUUCUUCCAUCAAGCUCAGACACAUCCUGAAAGAAGUGCAUGAAGACUUGCAUGAGUUGGUGAUUGUGGAGACACUAAAAAGGUGAUGCUCACCAUGUCCUCUCCUGUUGGAAGCAGUAGCCUCAAAAUCCGCCCCCUCACCACCAUCCAAAGCCUCAAGCUAAGUAAGAGCAAUGCCAGGGCAGAUGGCUGCACAGCAGGGCUCUCAGCGUCACUGCUCACUCUUCCCCUACAUGCCCUGUCCUGCUCAGCAGUUUUCCCAUGAACUUAUCUGAGCGGCACUCUUUGCUUUGUGCUAUGAAAAUCAAAGAUGAGGUGUCCUGAAUGAAAAGCUCACAGUUACCACGAGGUCUGCCUCUCAAUGCGCUGGGAAUAGAAAUGUGGCAAUCAGACUUUGGGAUGAAAUCAUAUUGGACAUGCUGGCUUAAUCUCUAAAGUAUGAAAUUGUAAGGAAGGAAUUACAGCUAAAAAACAUUUCACAUUUUAGAAAGCUUCUCUGACCCAUGCUGGAUCAGGAGAGAGAAGGAAAAGAGGGUAAAAAAAAAAAAAAACCAACAACCCCAAACCUGUGGAAUUCAAAUGACUGUAGCCAUUUGGGUUAGAAAAAAUCCAUCAUCAAAUAAACAGACUCCUGCACUUGUA
Molecule: long non-coding RNA, 1311 nt
Organism: Gallus gallus (chicken)
Lineage: Eukaryota; Metazoa; Chordata; Aves; Galliformes; Phasianidae
Exons: 4
Source: RefSeq, a predicted model, not a curated record